CGAAAGCCUGACGGAGCAAUACCGCGUGAGGGAUGACGGCCUAUGGGUUGUAAACCUCUUUUCUCAGGGAAGAACACAAUGACGGUACCUGAGGAAUAAGCAUCGGCUAACUCCGUGCCAGCAGCCGCGGUAAUACGGAGGAUGCAAGCGUUAUCCGGAAUGAUUGGGCGUAAAGCGUCCGCAGGUGGCGAUGUAAGUCUGCUGUUAAAGAGUGAGGCUCAACCUCAUAAAAGCAGUGGAAACUACAUAGCUAGAGUACGUUCGGGGCAGAGGGAAUUCCUGGUGUAGCGGUGAAAUGCGUAGAGAUCAGGAAGAACACCGGUGGCGAAGGCGCUCUGCUAGGCCGCAACUGACACUGAGGGACGAAAGC
This 370-nucleotide ribosomal RNA is filed under the name uncultured cyanobacterium. Its description in RNAcentral is "bacterial SSU rRNA". It matches the Rfam family "Bacterial small subunit ribosomal RNA", at positions 376 to 760 of the family's 1533-position model. The record is from RNAcentral. Lineage: Bacteria; Bacillati; Cyanobacteriota.